UGCCUAUCCUAGCUCCACCAAUCACAAUCAAGAACCCACUGCCACACUAAACUAAAACAUUAUCCCCCAAACCUAGUAUAGGAGAUAGAAAAGUACCCAGCGACGCUAUAGAAACAGUACCGCAAGGGAAAGAUGAAAUAGCAAUGACAAACCAAGCAUUGCACAGCAAAGAUAAACCCUUGUACCUUUUGCAUCAUGAUUUAGCAAGAACAACCAGACACAGUGAGCUUAAGUCUGCCCCCCCGAAACCCAAGCGAGCUACUUACAAGCAGCUACCCCUGAGCUAACCCGUCUCUGUUGCAAAAGAGUGGGAUGACUUGUUAGUAGCGGUGAAAAGCCAACCGAGCUGGGUGAUAGCUGGUUGCCUGCGAAACGAAUUUAAGUUCCCCCUUAGCCACGCCCCUCCGACAACCCACCAAACAUCCACGUAGCAGGCUAAGAGCUAUUUUAAGGGGGUACAGCCCCUUUAAAAAAGGAUACAACCUUCACUAGAGGAUAACUCCACUCCACUCCAAACCAGUGGGCCCUAAAGCAGCCACCCGCAAAGAGUGCGUCAAAGCUCAUUAGACAAAAAUCCAAAGACUAUACGACUCCCUACACCCCCAGCAGGCCAACCUAUAACAAUAGAUGAAUCAAUGCUAAAACGAGUAACCCAGGCACUACGCCUCCUUAAGCGCUAACCUAAAUACUAUUAACAGUACAACCACAAUAUCAAGCCCACCCCGACCAAACAUUGAACACACCCUGUUAACCCAACUCAGGAGCGCACACCUAGGACGAUUAAAAUCUGCAAAAGGAACUCGGCAAACCCAGGACCCGACUGUUUACCAAAAACAUAGCCUUCAGCCAAACAAGUAUUGAAGGUGAUGCCUGCCCAGUGACCCCACGUUCAACGGCCGCGGUAUCCUAACCGUGCAAAGGUAGCGCAAUCAAUUGUCCCAUAAAUAGAGACUUGUAUGAAUGGCUAAACGAGGCCCCAACUGUCUCCUGCAGACAAUCAGUGAAACUGAUCCCCCUGUACAAAAGCAGGGAUAACCACAUAAGACAAGAAGACCCUGUGGAACUUCAAAAUCAGUAGCCACUAGCAAACCGCCCCUAAACCUACCAGGCUUACCGCCCAAAACAGCUGGCUAACAUUUUUAGGUUGGGGCGACCUUGGAGAAAAACAAACCCUCCAAAAAUAAGGCCAAGCCCCUUAACUAAGAGCAACCCCUCAACGUGCCAACAGUACCCAGACCCAAUAAAAUUGACCAAUGAACCAAGCUACCCCAGGGAUAACAGCGCAAUCUCCCUCAAGAGCCCCUAUCGACAGGGAGGUUUACGACCUCGAUGUUGGAUCAGGACAUCCUAGUGGUGCAGCCGCUACUAAGGGUUCGUUUGUUCAACGAUUAAAAGUCCUACGUGAUCUGAGUUCAGACCGGAGCAAUCCAGGUCGGUUUCUAUCUAUGACUAGCCCCUCCUAGUACGAAAGGACCGGAAGAGCAGGGCCAAUACCCCAAGCAUGCCCUCCCCUAAAGCGGUGCCCCCAACUCAACCGCCUAAGGACCCCCCCCCACCACCCCAGACAAAGGUU
This 1573-nucleotide ribosomal RNA is filed under the name Poicephalus senegalus (Senegal parrot). Its description in RNAcentral is "16S ribosomal RNA". It matches the Rfam family "Bacterial large subunit ribosomal RNA". The record is from RNAcentral. Lineage: Eukaryota; Metazoa; Chordata; Aves; Psittaciformes; Psittacidae.